UUAAGUUUUCGGAUGUUCUGUGCGCGUUCCCGAGGCCCUUCGACUUUCCAUCCCAGAAACGAUAAACGCGGUGAGCAGCGCAUUCACACUACUUACGAUUAAUUUCAUAAUCCAGUCUGGUAGUUUUCAGAAGCGAGUUCUUGCAUUUGCCCUCCCCGAGCCUCGGCGGGGAUAAGGAGCGCCAGCGAGCCCAAGGCCUCCCUGGCGAGCGUGGUAGUACUGGAGGGCUCCCCAAAGGGCACCUUGGUGUUCCCCGGGGCGUCCGCGGAGGUACCGGAGAUCUGCACGGGUAGAUGGGGCUCGUUAGCCGUGGUAGGCAGUCCAUCUAGGAGAGCAAACUCCGAACAAUAUACCCGGGCAGGUGAGGCUCGUUAGCCGUGGUAGGCAAUUCGCCUAGGAGAGCAAACUCCGAACAAUAAACCCGGGCAGGUGGAGCUCGUUAGCGAGAGCAGUUCACCUAGGAGAAGGAAAACUCUGACAACAAACCCGGGCAGGUGGAGCUCGUUAGCGUGAGCAGUUCACCUAGGAGAAGGAAAACUCUGACAACAAACCCGGGCAGGUGGAGCUCGUUAGCCGUGGUAGGCAAUCUUCCUAGGAGAGGGACAACUCCGAACAACAAACACGGGCAGGCGGAGGUCGUUAGCCGUGGAAGGUAAUUCGCCUAGGAGAGGGACAACUCCGAACAACAAACACGGGCAGGCAGAGGUCGUUAGCCGUGGAAGGUAAUUCGCCUAGGAGAGGGACAACUCCGAACAACAAACACGGGCAGGCGGAGGUCGUUAGCCAUGGUAGGUAAUUCGCCUAGGAGAGGGACAACUCCGAACAACAAACACGGGCAGGCGGAGGUCGUUAGCCGUGGAAGGUAAUUCGCCUAGGAGAGGGACAACUCCGAACAACAAACACGGACAGGCGGAGGUCGUUAGCCGUGGAAGGUAAUUCGCCUAGGAGAGGGACAACUCCGAACAACAAACACGGGCAGGCGGAGGUCGUUAGCCAUGGUAGGUAAUUCGCCUAGGAGAGGGACAACUCCGAACAACAAACACGGGCAGGCGGAGGUCGUUAGCCGUGGAAGGUAAUUCGCCUAGGAGAGGGACAACUCCGAACAACAAACACGGGCAGGCGGAGGUCGUUAGCCAUGGAAGGUAAUUCGCCUAGGAGAGGGACAACUCCGAACAACAAACACGGGCAGGCGGAGGUCGUUAGCCGUGGAAGGUAAUUCGCCUAGGAGAGGGACAACUCCGAACAACAAACACGGACAGGCGGAGGUCGUUAGCCGUGGAAGGUAAUUCGCCUAGGAGAGGGACAACUCCGAACAACAAACACGGGCAGGCGGAGGUCGUUAGCCGUGGAAGGUAAUUCGCCUAGGAGAGGGACAACUCCGAACAACAAACACGGGCAGGCGGAGGUCGUUAGCCGUGGAAGGUAAUUCGCCUAGGAGAGGGACAACUCCGAACAACAAACACGGACAGGCGGAGGUCGUUAGCCGUGGAAGGUAAUUCGCCUAGGAGAGGGACAACUCCGAACAACAAACACGGGCAGGUGGAGCUCGUUAGCGUGAGCAGUUCACCUAGGAGAGCAAACUCCGAUUACAAACCCGGGCAGGUGGAGCUCGUUAGCGUGAGCAGUUCAUCUAGGAGAGCAAACUCCGAUUACAAACCCGGGCAGGUGGAGCUCGUUAGCGUGAGCAGUUCACCUAGGAGAGCAAACUCCGAUUACAAACCCGGGCAGGUGGAGCUCGUUAGCGUGAGCAGUUCACCUAGGAGAGCAAACUCCGAUUACAAACCCGGGCAGGUGGAGCUCGUUAGCGUGAGCAGUUCACCUAGGAGAAGGAAAACUCUGACCACAAACCCGGGCAGGUUGGGCUCGUGAGCCGUCAUAGGCAAUACACCUAGGAGAGCAAACUCCGAUUACAAACCCGGGCAGGAGGGGGUCGUUAGCCAUGGUAGGCAGUCCUCCUAGGAGAAGGAAAACUCCGAAUUCAAACCACACACACACACACACACACCAACCGGGCAGGUGGGGCUCGUUAUAGGCGUCGUAGACAAUCCACCAAGGGGAAUCAACACUAAGAGGAUAAUAAAAGCGAACAAACGAGAAGAAGAAUAUGAAAUUAGAACCAGAAAAAAAAGGACAGUAUAAGAUGGAACACUGAAAAAAGGAUAGUUAAGAAAAUAACAUCGAGAAGAGCAUAAGAUACACGCGGAUCAUCCAGACUGAAACGGAAGACCAAAAAAUGGAUGGCAUAAAAAGAAUGGAAAAAAGAUAACGUAAUAAGAAGGAAAGAAAAUAACGUAAAAACUAAAACACCAAGAAAAGGAAAAUAAGGAAAAUAUACAAACAACA
Molecule: long non-coding RNA, 2343 nt
Organism: Eriocheir sinensis (Chinese mitten crab)
Lineage: Eukaryota; Metazoa; Arthropoda; Malacostraca; Decapoda; Varunidae
Exons: 3
Source: RefSeq, a predicted model, not a curated record